Molecule: ribosomal RNA, 253 nt
Filed under: uncultured bacterium
Lineage: Bacteria
Description: partial 16S ribosomal RNA
Rfam family: Bacterial small subunit ribosomal RNA
Source: RNAcentral
UACGAAGGGGGCUAGCGUUGCUCGGAAUCACUGGGCGUAAAGGGUGCGUAGGCGGGUCUUUAAGUCAGGGGUGAAAUCCUGGAGCUCAACUCCAGAACUGCCUUUGAUACUGAAGAUCUUGAGUUCGGGAGAGGUGAGUGGAACUGCGAGUGUAGAGGCGAAAUUCGUAGAUAUUCGCAAGAACACCAGUGGCGAAGGCGGCUCACUGGCCCGAAACUGACGCUGAGGCACGAAAGCGUGGGGAGCAAACAGG